AGUGAACGCUGGCGGUAGGCCUAACACAUGCAAGUCGAACGGCAGCACAGUAGGAGCUUGCUCUUAGGGGGGGGGGGUGGCGGGCGGGUGAGGAAUGCAUCGGAAUCUACUUUUUGGUGGGGGAGGACGUAGGGAGACUUACGCUAAUACCGCAUACGACCUAAGGGUGAAAGCAGGGGAUCUUCGGACCUUGCGGGAUUGAAUGAGCCGAUGUCGGAUUAGCUAGUUGGCGGGGUAAAGGCCCACCAAGGCGACGAUCCGUAGCUGGUCUGAGAGGAUGAUCAGCCACACUGGAACUGAGACACGGCCCAGACUCCUACGGGAGGCAGCAGUGGGGAAUAUUGGACAAUGGGCGCAAGCCUGAUCCAGCCAUACCGCGUGGGUGAAGAAGGCCUUCGGGUUGUAAAGCCCUUUUGUUGGGAAAGAAAAGCAGCAGGUUAAUACCCCGCUGUUCUGACGGUACCCAAAGAAUAAGCACCGGCUAACUUCGUG
This 492-nucleotide ribosomal RNA is filed under the name uncultured bacterium. Its description in RNAcentral is "partial 16S ribosomal RNA". It matches the Rfam family "Bacterial small subunit ribosomal RNA", at positions 29 to 507 of the family's 1533-position model. The record is from RNAcentral.